This 244-nucleotide long non-coding RNA is filed under the name Fukomys damarensis (Damara mole-rat). RNAcentral describes it as "lncRNA (ENSFDAG00000023867.1)". Lineage: Eukaryota; Metazoa; Chordata; Mammalia; Rodentia; Bathyergidae. The record is from RNAcentral.
UUCACUGACGUGCACUGACCAAUUCUCAAUGAUGUUUUCAUGGUUUGCAGAACAUACCAAGAGUUAGCUAAGAAAUCAUUUCAACAGGAGACUUUCAUUGGGAAUGUCAAUGAGCCUUAUAUUAUCUUCAUAUUUCGUGAACUUAACAUUGUUAUUUUGAGAACUCUAGCAGAAAAGAAUGCAUGUUCUUUGCGAGGACAGAAUCAAGGUACCAAAGAGAAAAAUCAACCAGAGAAUAAGCAGC